RNAcentral lists this long non-coding RNA (239 nucleotides) under Capsicum annuum. RNAcentral's name for it is "long non-coding RNA (CANN_LNC018558)". Lineage: Eukaryota; Viridiplantae; Streptophyta; Magnoliopsida; Solanales; Solanaceae. The record is from RNAcentral.
AGCAAGUCCAUCUGAGUCUUUAGAUGGGCCAUGUCUUGAUCUCGCUCCUUCUCUCUCCUGCAUUGUUUAGCAUAUAUACCAACAAAAAUAGUGGGGCUUGCUACCACAGACUCCCUGGUAUGCCAAGCCCAACUCUGUUUGAUCAUCCUAUUUAGCAUAUCUGAGGUAUCUUGAAAAGACAUAUCAACAAAUGAACCACCAGCAAUAUUAUCUACAAUUGGCUUUGUUACAGAGUUGAG